AAGCCUGGUCCUGACUUUACCAUCCGCCCCAGCCAGAUUUAUACAUGCAAGUAUCCGCACCCCCGUGAGAAUGCCCCUAAGAUCCUGCCCGGAAAUGAGGAGCAGACAUCAGGCACGCCCACGCAGCCCAAGACGUCUUGCUUAGCCACACCCCCAAGGGAACUCAGCAGUAAUAAACUUUAGACCAUGAGUGUAAACUUGAUCUAGUUAUGGUUAUAAGAGGGCCGGUAAAACUCGUGCCAGCCACCGCGGUCAUACGAGUGUUAGCCCAAGUGGAUGGUUAACGGCGUAAAGAGUGGUUAGGGACCCCCAAAACUAAAGCUGAACGCCCGCAGGGCCGUUAUACGCAUCCGAGAGCAUGAAACCCCACCACGAAGGUGACUUUAACUUUACCCGAACCCACGACAGCUAGGGUACAAACUGGGAUUAGAUACCCCACUAUGCCUAGUCGUAAACUUUAAUAGAAGCCGCACCCCCUCUAUUCGCCAGGGCACUACGAGCACCAGCUUGAAACCCAAAGGACUUGGCGGUGCUUUAGACCCACCUAGAGGAGCCUGUCCUAGAACCGAUACCCCCCGUUCAACCUCACCACUUCUAGCCCAAACCGCCUAUAUACCACCGUCGUCAGCUUACCCCGUGAGGGACUAAUAGUAAGCUAAACUGGCACAGCCCAAAACGUCAGGUCGAGGUGUAGCGCACGAAGUGGGAAGAGAUGGGCUACAUUUUCUGACCCAGAAAACUACGGAAGGAAAAAUGAAAAGAUUCCUGAAGGAGGAUUUAGCAGUAAGCAGGGAGUAGAGCGCCCCGCUGAAAUAGGCCCUUAAGCGCGCACACACCGCCCGUCACUCUCCCCAAAUCCUACCCUGCCAUAACCUAUAGCCUUAAAUGGAUAAAGGGGAGGCAAGUCGUAACAUGGUAAGUGUACCGGAAGGUGCACUUGGAAAACACAGUGUGUGGCUAAAUAGUAAAGCACCUCCCUUACACCGAGAAGAUGUCCGUGCAAUUCGGACCACCCUGAUUCUAAAAAACUAGCCCGCCCCUUAGAGAAACAACCCCCUCUAAAUUAUAUUACCCGCACUACAAGCAACAAACCAUUUUACUUCCCCAGUACCCGGGCGACAGAAAAG
RNAcentral lists this non-coding RNA (1127 nucleotides) under Lampanyctus pusillus (pygmy lanternfish). Its description in RNAcentral is "partial small subunit ribosomal RNA". The stretch from base 1 to 953 matches the Rfam family "Bacterial small subunit ribosomal RNA". The record is from RNAcentral. Lineage: Eukaryota; Metazoa; Chordata; Actinopteri; Myctophiformes; Myctophidae.